This 520-nucleotide unclassified non-coding RNA is filed under the name uncultured Entrophospora. RNAcentral's name for it is "SSU rRNA". It matches the Rfam family "Eukaryotic small subunit ribosomal RNA", at positions 569 to 1083 of the family's 1831-position model. Lineage: Eukaryota; Fungi; Glomeromycota; Glomeromycetes; Entrophosporales; Entrophosporaceae. The record is from RNAcentral.
AGCAGCCGCGGUAAUUCCAGCUCCAAUAGCGUAUAUUAAAGUUGUUGCAGUUAAAAGCUCGUAGUUGAAUUUCGGGAUUGGCGCAUCGGUCGUGCCUCACGGGGUAUGAACUGGUGCAGUCAAUUUCUCACCUUCUGGAGAACCGCGAUGUCCUUAAUUGGAUGCCGCGGGGAACCAGGACCUUUACUUUGAAAAAAUUAGAGUGUUUAAAGCAGGCAUUUUUGCUUGAAUACAUUAGCAUGGAAUAAUAAAAUAGGACGGCAUGGUUCUAUUUUGUUGGUUUCUAGGACCACCGUAAUGAUUAAUAGGGAUAGUUGGGGGCAUUAGUAUUCAAUUGUCAGAGGUGAAAUUCUUGGAUUUAUUGAAGACUAACUACUGCGAAAGCAUUUGCCAAGGAUGUUUUCAUUAAUCAAGAACGAAAGUUAGGGAUCGAAGACGAUCAGAUACCGUCGUAGUCUUAACCAUAAACUAUGCCGACUAGGAAUCAGACGAUGUUAAUUUUUUAAUGUACUUCGUUUGG